CGGGCGCUCCGGGUCCCAAGGCCAAGACCAACUUCACUCUCUCCCUCCCUCACGCCCAGCCCCAGCUCCACCACCAUCAGCACCACCACCACCACCUCACCUACCCACCCUACUCCGCUGCCAUCGCUAGCUAGGCUAGCCACCACCAGCCUUAACUCCACCGUUGAGUCAUUCGGCACCAGGCCGCGACUGAUCCUUGAUGGUGACUGCCACAAUGAUUGCGGGUUGUCGGCGUCGAUGGUUGAUGAGGACUGCACGGAUGCCACCGCCUCACUGUCGUGUCAGCUCACCCGACAUGAUCCCUCACCCCUCCUCUCUGUUGUUUUUGUUUACCUGAUCUGGUGA
RNAcentral lists this long non-coding RNA (345 nucleotides) under Oryza sativa Indica Group (long-grained rice). RNAcentral's name for it is "lncRNA OsMH63_09G004880". The record is from RNAcentral. Lineage: Eukaryota; Viridiplantae; Streptophyta; Magnoliopsida; Poales; Poaceae.